GCCGGGCGAGGUGGCGGGCGCCUGUAGUCCCAGCUACUUGGGAGGCCGAGGCGGGAGAAUGGCGUAAACCCGGGAGGCGGAGCUUGUAGUGAGCUGAGAUCCGGCCACUGCACUCCAGCCUGGGCGANNNNNNNNNNUCGCCCAGGCUGGAGUGCAGUGGCCGGAUCUCAGCUCACUACAAGCUCCGCCUCCCGGGUUCACACCAUUCUCCUGCCUCAG
RNAcentral lists this signal recognition particle RNA (219 nucleotides) under Chlorocebus sabaeus (green monkey). RNAcentral describes it as "Metazoan signal recognition particle RNA". It matches the Rfam family "Metazoan signal recognition particle RNA". Rfam says of the family: The signal recognition particle (SRP) is a universally conserved ribonucleoprotein. Lineage: Eukaryota; Metazoa; Chordata; Mammalia; Primates; Cercopithecidae. The record is from Rfam by way of RNAcentral.